Molecule: ribosomal RNA, 458 nt
Filed under: uncultured bacterium
Lineage: Bacteria
Description: partial 16S ribosomal RNA
Rfam family: Bacterial small subunit ribosomal RNA
Source: RNAcentral
CCUACGGGAGGCAGCAGUGAGGAAUAUUGGUCAAUGGGCGAGAGCCUGAACCAGCCAAGUCGCGUGAGGGAGUACUGCCCUAUGGGUUGUAAACCUCUUUUGUCGGGGAGCAAAAGCCGGACGUGUCCGGCUGUGAGAGUACCCGAAGAAAAAGCAUCGGCUAACUCCGUGCCAGCAGCCGCGGUAAUACGGAGGAUGCGAGCGUUAUCCGGAUUUAUUGGGUUUAAAGGGUGCGCAGGCGGAUUUUUAAGUCAGCGGUAAAAUCGUGGGGCUCAACCCCAUCCAGCCGUUGAAACUGGGGAUCUAGAGUGUGCAAGAGGUAUGCGGAAUGCGUGGUGUAGCGGUGAAAUGCAUAGAUAUCACGCAGAACCCCGAUUGCGAAGGCAGCAUACCGGUGCACAACUGACGCUCAGGCACGAAAGCGUGGGUAUCGAACAGGAUUAGAUACCCUUGUAGUC